This 139-nucleotide long non-coding RNA is filed under the name Dasypus novemcinctus (nine-banded armadillo). RNAcentral's name for it is "JPX transcript, XIST activator conserved region 1 (ENSDNOG00000035401.1)". It matches the Rfam family "JPX transcript, XIST activator conserved region 1". The record is from RNAcentral. Lineage: Eukaryota; Metazoa; Chordata; Mammalia; Cingulata; Dasypodidae.
UAGGGCUAGGCUAAGACCUAAAAUGGCGGCGUUAGAACCGGGGUUUGUUACUGCAUGAGUAGCGAGGUUGGUAAGGCGGCCAGAAAGAUGGAUCUACCAUCGGAAGUUCCGAAACUCGCCAUUUUUUUGUGUGUUGUGG